RNAcentral lists this transfer RNA (84 nucleotides) under Tieghemiomyces parasiticus. It matches the Rfam family "tRNA". From Rfam's summary of the family: Transfer RNA (tRNA) molecules are approximately 80 nucleotides in length. Their secondary structure includes four short double-helical elements and three loops (D, anti-codon, and T loops). Lineage: Eukaryota; Fungi; Kickxellomycota; Dimargaritomycetes; Dimargaritales; Dimargaritaceae. The record is from Rfam by way of RNAcentral.
GGUCAGAUGGCCGAGCGGUCUAAGGCGCUACGUUCAGGUCGUAGUCUACUCUUGUAGGCGUGGGUUCGAAUCCCACUCUGACCA